ACUUCUCUUUUUGAGAAUAUCUCUCCACCCUAAUUUCAUCUUAGAAACCCUAACACCAACCCACCAUCACCGCUCCACCAUCCAUCUCUUGCACCACCAUAUCCGGCCACCUAUCCACACUCCUUUAACCCUUUCCUCACAACACUUUCGCCAAAAACCCCACUUCCCAACUGAGACCGUCAUCAUCUCCGGUCUUGCCCGUUUGUAGUCGUCGGAAAACUAGCUGAGGUUGGAACCCUUUCUUCACCGCGAGUAACUCCACCACCGUCGGUGGCUGAUCUGGUCUAAAUUCACACACCCCCCGUCGACCUGAAGCAGGUAUGCAUAUCUCCUUUUUAGUUAAAUCGGGAAACUCAGAUCAAGUUUUUGUUGCAGCUGAAAAGUUUGAAUUUUCAAUACCUUAAAUGCUGAAUCUAGGAUAGAAGAUGGUUACCAGGUUCGGGGUUGAGAUUGGUAGUAACCGAAGAACGGUAGGCACGAUCGAUCUGAAAGGAGUAGUUCAGAGUCACCCUUUUAUGUAUUCUAUAAUUUACUAUUUAUUUUUUUUAUUUUAAUCAUUAUACAUAUUGUAUAUAUAAAAAUGAUGUAGCUGGUAUUUCAUAACCCAUAAAGAAUUUUGUUUCAGCUGACAUAUAUGCAAUUUUGUU
RNAcentral lists this long non-coding RNA (647 nucleotides) under Helianthus annuus (common sunflower). RNAcentral describes it as "hypothetical non coding rna". Lineage: Eukaryota; Viridiplantae; Streptophyta; Magnoliopsida; Asterales; Asteraceae. The record is from RNAcentral.